Molecule: ribosomal RNA, 253 nt
Filed under: uncultured bacterium
Lineage: Bacteria
Description: partial 16S ribosomal RNA
Rfam family: Bacterial small subunit ribosomal RNA
Source: RNAcentral
UACGUAUGGUGCAAGCGUUGUUCGGAAUUACUGGGCAUAAAGGGUGCGUAGGCGGUUUGUUAAGUCAGUGGUGAAAUUUCUGGGCCCAACCGAGAAACUGCCAUUGAAACUGACAAACUUGAGUAGGUAAGGGGUAAGCGGAACGUUUGGUGUAGCGGUGAAAUGCGUAGAUAUCAAACGGAAGGCCAGCGGCGAAGGCGGCUUACUGGUACCUAACUGACGCUGAGGCACGAAAGCGUGGGGAGCAAACAGG